GGAGGAAGGUGGGGAUGACGUCAAGUCAUCAUGGCCCUUACGACCAGGGCUACACACGUGCUACAAUGGCGCAUACAAAGAGAAGCGACCUCGCGAGAGCAAGCGGACCUCAUAAAGUGCGUCGUAGUCCGGAUUGGAGUCUGCAACUCGACUCCAUGAAGUCGGAAUCGCUAGUAAUCGUGGAUCAGAAUGCCACGGUGAAUACGUUCCCGGGCCUUGUACACACCGCCCGUCACACCAUGGGAGUGGGUUGCAAAAGAAGUAGGUAGCUUAACCUUCGGGAGGGCGCUUACCACUUUGUGAUUCAUGACUGGGGUGAAGUCGUAACAAGGUAACCGUAGGGGAACCUGC
This 351-nucleotide ribosomal RNA is filed under the name Salmonella enterica. RNAcentral describes it as "bacterial SSU rRNA". It matches the Rfam family "Bacterial small subunit ribosomal RNA", at positions 1165 to 1515 of the family's 1533-position model. The record is from RNAcentral. RNAcentral also lists the same sequence under 4 other names. Lineage: Bacteria; Pseudomonadati; Pseudomonadota; Gammaproteobacteria; Enterobacterales; Enterobacteriaceae.